Molecule: ribosomal RNA, 253 nt
Filed under: uncultured bacterium
Lineage: Bacteria
Description: partial 16S ribosomal RNA
Rfam family: Bacterial small subunit ribosomal RNA
Source: RNAcentral
UACGAAGGGGGCUAGCGUUGCUCGGAAUUACUGGGCGGAAAGGGAGCGUAGGCGGACAUUUAAGUCAGGGGUGAAAUCCCGGGGCUCAACCUCGGAAUUGCCUUUGAUACUGGGUGUCUUGAGUAUGAGAGAGGUAUGUGGAACUCCGAGUGUAGAGGUGAAAUUCGUAGAUAUUCGGAAGAACACCAGUGGCGAAGGCGACAUACUGGCUCAUUACUGACGCUGAGGCUCGAAAGCGUGGGGAGCAAACCGG